This 1417-nucleotide ribosomal RNA is filed under the name Staphylococcus sp. RNAcentral describes it as "bacterial SSU rRNA". It matches the Rfam family "Bacterial small subunit ribosomal RNA". The record is from RNAcentral. Lineage: Bacteria; Bacillati; Bacillota; Bacilli; Caryophanales; Staphylococcaceae.
GCAGUCGAGCGAACAGAUAAGGAGCUUGCUCCUUUGACGUUAGCGGCGGACGGGUGAGUAACACGUGGGUAACCUACCUAUAAGACUGGGAUAACUUCGGGAAACCGGAGCUAAUACCGGAUAACAUUUGGAACCGCAUGGUUCUAAAGUGAAAGAUGGUUUUGCUAUCACUUAUAGAUGGACCCGCGCCGUAUUAGCUAGUUGGUAAGGUAACGGCUUACCAAGGCGACGAUACGUAGCCGACCUGAGAGGGUGAUCGGCCACACUGGAACUGAGACACGGUCCAGACUCCUACGGGAGGCAGCAGUAGGGAAUCUUCCGCAAUGGGCGAAAGCCUGACGGAGCAACGCCGCGUGAGUGAUGAAGGGUUUCGGCUCGUAAAACUCUGUUAUUAGGGAAGAACAAACGUGUAAGUAACUGUGCAUGUCUUGACGGUACCUAAUCAGAAAGCCACGGCUAACUACGUGCCAGCAGCCGCGGUAAUACGUAGGUGGCAAGCGUUAUCCGGAAUUAUUGGGCGUAAAGCGCGCGUAGGCGGUUUCUUAAGUCUGAUGUGAAAGCCCACGGCUCAACCGUGGAGGGUCAUUGGAAACUGGGAAACUUGAGUGCAGAAGAGGAAAGUGGAAUUCCAUGUGUAGCGGUGAAAUGCGCAGAGAUAUGGAGGAACACCAGUGGCGAAGGCGACUUUCUGGUCUGUAACUGACGCUGAUGUGCGAAAGCGUGGGGAUCAAACAGGAUUAGAUACCCUGGUAGUCCACGCCGUAAACGAUGAGUGCUAAGUGUUAGGGGGUUUCCGCCCCUUAGUGCUGCAGCUAACGCAUUAAGCACUCCGCCUGGGGAGUACGACCGCAAGGUUGAAACUCAAAGGAAUUGACGGGGACCCGCACAAGCGGUGGAGCAUGUGGUUUAAUUCGAAGCAACGCGAAGAACCUUACCAAAUCUUGACAUCCUUUGAAAACUCUAGAGAUAGAGCCUUCCCCUUCGGGGGACAAAGUGACAGGUGGUGCAUGGUUGUCGUCAGCUCGUGUCGUGAGAUGUUGGGUUAAGUCCCGCAACGAGCGCAACCCUUAAGCUUAGUUGCCAUCAUUAAGUUGGGCACUCUAGGUUGACUGCCGGUGACAAACCGGAGGAAGGUGGGGAUGACGUCAAAUCAUCAUGCCCCUUAUGAUUUGGGCUACACACGUGCUACAAUGGACAAUACAAAGGGCAGCUAAACCGCGAGGUCAUGCAAAUCCCAUAAAGUUGUUCUCAGUUCGGAUUGUAGUCUGCAACUCGACUACAUGAAGCUGGAAUCGCUAGUAAUCGUAGAUCAGCAUGCUACGGUGAAUACGUUCCCGGGUCUUGUACACACCGCCCGUCACACCACGAGAGUUUGUAACACCCGAAGCCGGUGGAGUAACCAUUUAUGGAGCUAGCC